GGAGAGGUGGCAGAGUGGUCGAAUGCGCGCGACUGGAAAUCGCGUUAUCGGGGUUAAAUCUCGAUACGAGGGUUCGAAUCCCUCCCUCUCCGCCA
This 95-nucleotide transfer RNA is filed under the name Bacillota bacterium. RNAcentral's name for it is "tRNA-Ser". It matches the Rfam family "tRNA". From Rfam's summary of the family: Transfer RNA (tRNA) molecules are approximately 80 nucleotides in length. The record is from RNAcentral. Lineage: Bacteria; Bacillati; Bacillota.